RNAcentral lists this ribosomal RNA (495 nucleotides) under uncultured bacterium. Its description in RNAcentral is "partial 16S ribosomal RNA". It matches the Rfam family "Bacterial small subunit ribosomal RNA", at positions 28 to 507 of the family's 1533-position model. The record is from RNAcentral.
GAUGAACGCUGGCGGCGUGCCUAAUACAUGCAAGUAGAACGCUGAAGGAGGAGCUUGCUCUUCUGGAUGAGUUGCGAACGGGUGAGUAACGCGUAGGUAACCUGCCUGGUAGCGGGGGAUAACUAUUGGAAACGAUAGCUAAUACCGCAUGACAACAGUUAUUGCAUGAUAACUGUUUAAAAGGGGCAACUGCUCCACUACCAGAUGGACCUGCGUUGUAUUAGCUAGUUGGUGAGGUAACGGCUCACCAAGGCGACGAUACAUAGCCGACCUGAGAGGGUGAUCGGCCACACUGGGACUGAGACACGGCCCAGACUCCUACGGGAGGCAGCAGUAGGGAAUCUUCGGCAAUGGACGGAAGUCUGACCGAGCAACGCCGCGUGAGUGAAGAAGGUUUUCGGAUCGUAAAGCUCUGUUGUAAGAGAAGAACGAGUGUGAGAGUGGAAAGUUCACACUGUGACGGUAUCUUACCAGAAAGGGACGGCUAUCUACGUG